CGGACCGAACGAGGGCUUGCUCUUGUUGGUCAGCGGCGGACGGGUGAGUAACACGUGGGCAACCUGCCCGCAAGACCGGGAUAACUCCGGGAAACCGGAGCUAAUACCGGAUAACACCGAAGACCGCAUGGUCUUCGGUUGAAAGGCGGCCUUUGGGCUGUCACUUGCGGAUGGGCCCGCGGCGCAUUAGCUAGUUGGUGAGGUAACGGCUCACCAAGGCGACGAUGCGUAGCCGGCCUGAGAGGGUGACCGGCCACACUGGGACUGAGACACGGCCCAGACUCC
RNAcentral lists this ribosomal RNA (285 nucleotides) under unidentified marine bacterioplankton. RNAcentral's name for it is "partial 16S ribosomal RNA". It matches the Rfam family "Bacterial small subunit ribosomal RNA", at positions 63 to 339 of the family's 1533-position model. RNAcentral also lists the same sequence under 1 other name. The record is from RNAcentral.